Molecule: ribosomal RNA, 770 nt
Filed under: uncultured bacterium
Lineage: Bacteria
Description: bacterial SSU rRNA
Rfam family: Bacterial small subunit ribosomal RNA
Source: RNAcentral
AGAGUUUGAUCCUGGCUCAGGACGAACGCUGGCGGCGUGCUUAACACAUGCAAGUCGAGCGGAAAGGCCCUUCGGGGUACUCGAGCGGCGAACGGGUGAGUAACACGUGAGCAAUCUGCCCUUAGCUCUGGGAUAGCUCCGGGAAACCGGGAUUAAUACCAGAUACGACCACUUUAGACAUCUGCUGUGGUGGAAAGAAUUUCGGCUAGGGAUGAGCUCGCGGCCUAUCAGCUUGUUGGUGGGGUAACGGCCUACCAAGGCGACGACGGGUAGCCGGCCUGAGAGGGCGACCGGCCACACUGGGACUGAGACACGGCCCAGACUCCUACGGGAGGCAGCAGUGGGGAGUAUUGCGCAAUGGGCGAAAGCCUGACGCAGCGACGCCGCGUGGGGGAUGAAGGCCUUCGGGUUGUAAACCCCUUUCAGCAGGGACGAAGCGAAAGUGACGGUACCUGCAGAAGAAGCGCCGGCUAACUACGUGCCAGCAGCCGCGGUAACACGUAGGGCGCAAGCGUUGUCCGGAAUUAUUGGGCGUAAAGAGCUCGUAGGCGGUCUGUUGCGUCCGCUGUGAAAACUCGGGGCUUAACCCCGAGCCUGCAGUGGAUACGGGCAGACUAGAGGUAGGUAGGGGAGAAUGGAAUUCCCGGUGUAGCGGUGAAAUGCGCAGAUACCGGGAGGAACACCGGUGGCGAAGGCGGUUCUCUGGGCCUUACCUGACGCUGAGGAGCGAAAGCGUGGGGAGCGAACAGGAUUAGAUACCCCCGUAGUCC